RNAcentral lists this ribosomal RNA (269 nucleotides) under uncultured prokaryote. RNAcentral's name for it is "partial 16S ribosomal RNA". It matches the Rfam family "Bacterial small subunit ribosomal RNA", at positions 524 to 792 of the family's 1533-position model. The record is from RNAcentral.
UACGGAGGAUCCGAGCGUUAUCCGGAUUUAUUGGGCUUAAAGGGUGCGCAGGCGGGAGAUUAAGUCGGCGGUGAAAUUUUGCAGCUCAACUGUAAAAGUGCCUUCGAAACUGGUUUCCUUGAGUGUAGAUGAAGUAGGCGGAAUUUGUGGUGUAGCGGUGAAAUGCAUAGAUAUCACGAGGAACUCCGAUUGCGCAGGCAGCUUACUAAACUACUACUGACGCUCAGGCACGAAGGCGUGGGGAUCAAACAGGAUUAGAUACCCGCGUA